Long non-coding RNA from Columba livia (rock pigeon), 8772 nucleotides. RefSeq lists it as uncharacterized. NCBI's taxonomy places the organism in Eukaryota, Metazoa, Chordata, Aves, Columbiformes, Columbidae. The record is from RefSeq and is a predicted model, not a curated record. The transcript has 3 exons.
ACUUAAUUCAGAUCUGACAGUCGGAAGAGCUAUGGCUUUAUACAGCGCCUGCCGCCACCAGCGGGAGAAGAACAACUAUUUCAUCAGCCUGAACCGACGGCUGCACAUGAUGACACCUGUGUGCCACAACAUCUCUGGGAACAGCCCUGGAGGUGGAUGGAGAAACUUCUGACUGGUAAUUCCCCCUUGCAUUUGGGUGUGGGGGGAUAGAAACGAGAACACCUUUCACACACAGGCUGUGUUACCCCCUGGGAAAUACAGAUAUAUGCAUUGGAUCCAUAGCUUCAUAGACCAGCAUUGUGGUUUUUAUUAUAAAAAGCAAUGGGCUUGCUUUGAGCCUCAUAUCAGUUACUCUUUAAAAAGCUGUUGUUCGUAUCUACAAGGAAGAGGAUGCAAAUACUAUAAUUUCUGUCACAUAUUUGAAAUGUGUUUCUGGAUCUAUAAUAUUCCAUGGGCUUUCCCAUUCCUUAACAAUAGAUACUUAGUCUGAUAAAAUUAAUGUGAUUUUCUUGGACCUGUAUCAGCAGUACUCAUUGGGGACAUAAAACAUACGAUAGCAGACAGAAGUAAAACUUGUGAUGUAGGAGUAAAUGCAAUGGGGAUGGUCUAAAAAAUGCAGGGUGCUUCAAAAAGGUGUACCUGGUUUCAAGGGUAAAGUGAUUUAAAAUUAGGUCCAUCUUUCUGAAACAACCUGUAUAAUCCUAAAUUCACUCUGAUUUUAUUUAUAUUAUCCUGAACAGAAUGCACAUGUGCACAUGGGUAAUUAAAUACCUUACUAGUGCCUGCAUCUCUAGCCAAUAUAAAAUUGUCAAUGUGAAAUGUCAGUGUUGUUUCUGAUAAAGAGAAAUUGCAAUUAGACACAAUAACAUGGAAAUGGUUCCCAGUGGUUACUUAGACUCCUGGAGAGCAAAGAAUCCGUGGUCAAGAUGGACCAGCUUCAUUUUCCAAAUACAUGGCUAGAUUCUUCCUUCAGGUGAGAUCUGCACUCUCUAAUUUAGGCCAAAUACUUCAAAAAACCCUCACAGUUCUUUCAUUAUACUUCCAAUGGACAAAGACAGUUAAAAAAUAACAGGUAUUUUCCUCAUACAUAAUUUUGUCUAGUACUGUUUUGACCUUGUUUUCAUUUUUUCUUUAAUAACUUAAAUAUUAAACUAAUGAAAAAGUACAAUGUUUAUGGCCUUCAUUUUACCAGUUGCUUUUACCAUGUAUUUUCUGACAUCAGCUUUUUCAAGGUUCAUAAACACAUUUACUCAAGUUGCGUGAGAGAGAGAGGAACUUCUGCAUGUCAGAUGGGAGUAACAAACUUUGAAGGGUAUACAUUUGAAGGAAUGAGUGUCCUCAUGACAGAGAAGAUCCUUUUUUCAGCAGAGUAAAAUCGACACGUAGCAGUCUCAUCCUACAGAUGAAUUAACUUCCCAUGCUCACAUAAGAGAUAGCAAUCUGAAUAUAUUUAAUGAAUAUAUAUAAUGAAUUACUCUCAAACUCUCAUUACCUGCUCUCUGAGAUUCGUCAUGACUCUUGGGAUUUUCCCACCGAGCACAGUGUUUCAGGGAGCUGAUCCAUGACAUGGAAGAAACUGGGAUCUCACCUUUCUGAAAUCCAAGUGGUCUCAUGUGCAAAACAUACACUUAAUUUUGCAUGUUGAGUCCCGGGUAUGUACAUUCUCAUUUCAUAACGUGCAGGUCCUUUCUAGCACGUCUGGGUUGUUAACCCAGAAUUUUGUCUUUCACAACCAAGAGAAGGUUUACCCACUAAUAUUCAGCACCUGUUUUCCUUGGUGUGUUAUUAGAACUACAGGUUACGCUUCUUCAUACUCAUUAUUCAUCACAGAUGGCUGGUUGUCAGACGGGGUUCAUUUGUCUUGUACUGGAAGGCACCAAAAAAAGACAAAAACAAGGUACUUGUCUAUUUUAAGCAACUGCUGUAAUUACUAUAGGUUUGUCACAUAUGCAAUUAAGAGAGCAUCUGUGUUCUUACAUCUGUGAAUAGAUGUGAGACAGACUCUUCCUAAAAAUGAAGCUGAAGAAGCUUUUAAUUUGUGACCGAACAAUGUGUGCCAGGGAAUGAUAUAUAGCCUCAGAAAUCUCAAGUGUCAUGGAAAGUUUCUGUCCCAUUCACAGGGAAUGAACCAUUAAGCAUCCCAGGGCUGGGCUGAUGCAUCGUAGGUGCAACACUGGGGCAUGUCGUGGUUGUAGUCACUCAGAACUACCUGUGGUGACUUACUGAAAGUGAUUUGAUGUCUUUAUAAGGUGAUGGAAUUAAUAGAGGUGGCUCUGUCUGUCAAUUUCCUUAUUGAUUUCAAGUAUUUAAACAAGACCACACAUGGAUAUAAAGCCAUUUACUACUUCAAAACUUCAGCAUUUCAGAAUUUAUACUAUCUUUGCAAGCCAAAGUGGUGAAAAAUCUCUGUGUAUCUGGCGCAUUGCAAAUAAAAACAUUAAGAUUUUUCCCUAGAUGUUGUUAAAAUCGGUCUUGAACAAAAGUAGUAAAGAUGCAAAGAAGACUCUCAUACUGCUUUGGUUUCUGCUGCAUGAAAUGCAGCCAGACAGUACUGCAAAUGAGCAAUUAUUUGGUUUCCAGGUUUAUAGUGUGUUUACUAGAAGGUCAUAAAGAAAGGCCAGUCUAUUUAGCUUAUUUCACGAGUUCUGGGAGAGAAUACUGAAGAAAUGAGGGUAGUAAAAGAAGAGGAGAGACCUCAUAACUCAGUUCAGGUAAACUAAUUUUCUGCAGAAAAUAAAAGUAAUUUUGCUUGCAAAGCUAUUAAAAAUUUACCAGUUAUUCAGCAGCAGAGUAAGUAUUCCCAGCCCUCGUCUGCUACUUUGCAGAGCAACAUUCUUAUUUUUAUCAAAUGAUUUAAGAAAUCCCAUUUGCCUAGAAAAUUAUGAUCAGAGAACUUCAGUUGGAAAAGCAGGAAUUUAGAAAAAGUAGAGUAGCUGAAAACAAGGAUGUAGAAAGAAAUAAGUGUGUCCAUGCAAGAUGAUCUGCUUGGUGUUGUAGUCUGAAUUGAUGUAAUCUGUAAUGGGAAUAUUCUCAAGACAAAAAAAUUAACCUUUAUUUUGAAGCAGAGACCUAACUCUGGAAAAUGAAAGAUAGUAUUCUGUUUGUUUAUUGUUUAUAUAAAGGCACAUUUUUUUCUCAACAAAUGUGUGGAAUUAUAAACAUAUAUGUGUGUAUAUUGAUACAUGCCCAGAGAAAACUCAGAGCUCAGAAGCAUUUGUCUGUGUUUCCAACAUUUUGUGCCGGGUUUUCUGCUGAACAAGGACUAGUUUUGAGGAGAAGUGAGGAGUGGACCUGUUGUCUGAUGGCCCUACACAGACUACUUAUGCCAGGACUUUGUAAUUAAGUAAAAAGCCAAACUAACUGGCAUUUGGAAACAAACAAACAAACAAUCCUUUGUUCUACUGUGUUUUCCCAAAAGUAAGACCUACCCUGAAAAUAAACCCUUGCAUGAUUUUUUAGGAUUUUUUGAGGAUGCUUGAAAUAUACACCCUACUCCAAAAAUAAACACUAGUUAGAGUUCAUAAAAAAAGUCAAAUUGAGUAGUGUCCAGGCAGCUAUACAGGUAAAAGUAAUAAAUCUGGGAGCAAAAAUUAAUGUAAGACCCUGUCUUAUUUUCAGGAAAACAGGGUAAGACCAACCCAAUUUUGUAGCACUACAAGAGGAUUACAUAUCACCCUUUAUUUUAUGUACAUUGUAAGUGAACAAGCAAUUACUGCUUUGCUUGAAAGAUUUUCUACACCUCAUGGUUUGUGCAGGAAGGAUUUUGUCUUUCAAGUCCGACACGGUGCUGCCCACGUGCUUUUAUCGGUCAUGCAGUUGCAGGAUGACAAACUCCCCCCAAGGGGUUGGUUCCUCCUGCCGGUCCCCGUGGAGCAGCACGGUCAGCAUGUGUUUUGCUUCCUUCGAGCCACCCUGGGCAGAUGUGGGACAUAACGAGCACUCGAGGUAAUGUAUCUGUGCUGAGCUAUAGCUCUAUUUUACAGCACGAUGCGCUCUUCUGGCAGCAUCCCAAAAUAUAGGAGCUGGUGCCCAGAUUCCUACCGUCAUGAUACGUUCUUACCCACACCGUGCAUGCUCCCGCUGCCCACGUAACCUUUUCCAUCAUCUCACUCCCACUAAUUUCUCAAGGACUGUGAUUAUUCUCUGCCUUUUUUCUGUUUAUUCCUUUCUGCGUGUUAUUUCAUCUCACUCACUCUUCUUCUGAUUUAUUUGCUUUUCAGAGUUGUCUUUGCCCACUGCUUUCAAGUGAAGUUCUGUUGGAUCCAGCCCUACUGCCUGUCAUGCCACAUUCUAACUCUGAGUGGCAGAUUUAAGAAGUUCAAAGUGUCAGAACACUUUAGGGAAUAUUAUGAUGAAAAGUAAAGGAGUAAAAUCCAUCUGAAAAACACUUGCAUGUUUCCCUGCUUGCUUACAGUACAUAGGUAUUUAAACAUGUUUUUUCAAAAGGUAUUUCAUGUGUUUCUAACUUGUGACAUAUGUGCUUUUUCACUUGGUUAUUUUUUUUUCUGUCUUGAACGUAUUCACGGGAAACCUAGUCACUGGUGGGAAAUUAGGAGUUAGGUUUCGUGAUUUCUCUUUUGUAAUUAGCUAUGUUUAUGUGUUUUUUUCUGAAAGAAGCAGUGCUAACAGCUGGUCAAAGAGUUAAUUAUGCAUAGAAAAAGUAAUUUUUGUCUAAAGAAAUUAAUGUGAACAUUUUCAAAUAGAUCAAAAGGCCUAAUGGAUGACUGACUAUUGCUGGAAAUGGUUUGAUGCAUAAUGCAUCUCUGAAACAAAGGCUACAGUCUGUGAAACAAAAAUUAUUCAGUUGUAUUUAAAAUACAUGUACAAAUAACUACAAGUGAGAAUCACAGGCAACUACUGCAGUGUUCAUUUUUGUAGACUUUGCAUUUUCAAAGAGUGGUUGGUGUGCGCUAUUUACAUGGUGAUGUGCAGAGCUAUACCAUGAUAUGAGUGCUUGAUUAUUUGACCUUGAGGCAUUUGACUAUACACUGGCACAUGCAGAAAACUCAUCCAGAAGAAUUUUAGAAAAGCCUGAAAUCUGUUUGUCUUUCCAGAGGUCUGGAGCAGUGAUACAAACUGGCUUAAGAAGAGAAGCCAGAGAGUGGUAGUCAAUGGUGCGGAGUCUAGUUGGAGGCCAGUAUCUAGUGCAGUGCCUCAGGGGUCAGUGCUGGGGCCAAUAUUAUUCAAUAUAUUCAUUAACGAUUUAGACGAGGGAAUAGAGUGUACUAUCAGCAAGUUUGCUGAUGACACUAAGCUGGGAGGGGUGGCUGACACUGGAAGCUGUGCUGCCAUCCAGCGGGACCUGGACAGGCUGGAGAGCUGGGCGGGGAAUAACCUAAUGAAAUUUAACAAGGGAAAGUGUAGAGUCCUGCAUCUGGGCAGGAACAACCCCAGGUUCCAGUAUAGGUUGGGAAAUUACAUAUUAGAGAGCAGUGUAGGGGAAAGGGACCUGGGGGUCCUGGUAGACAACAGGAUGACCAUGAGCCAGCACUGGGCCCUUGUGGCCAGGAAGGCCAAUGGUACCUGGGGUGGAUUAGAAGGGGGGUGGCUAGUAGAUCGAGAGAGGUCCUCCUUCCCCUCUACUCCGCCCUGGGGAGACCACAUCUGGAAUAUUGUGUCCAGUUCUGGGCCCCUCAGUUCCAGAAGGACAGGGAACUGCUGGAGAGGGUCCAGCGUAGGGCAACGAAGAUGAUUAAGGGAGUGGAGCAUCUCCCUUAUGAAGAAAGGCUGAGGGAGCUGGGUCUCUUUAGUUUGGAGAAGAGGAGACUAAGGGGGGACCUCAUUAAUGUUUAUAAAUAUAUAAAGGGUGAGUGCCAUGAGGAUGGAGCCAGGCUCUUCUGGGUGGCCAACAAUGAUAGGACAAGGGGUAAUGGGAUCAAGCUGGAACACAAGAGGUUCCGCUUAAAUUUGAGAAAAAACAACUUCUCAGUGAGGGUAACAGAGCACUGGAACAGGCUGCCCAGGGAGGUUGUGGAGUCUCCUUCUCUGCAGACAUUCAAAACCCGCCUGGACAUGUUCCUGUGUGACCUCACCUGGGCGUUCCUGCUCCAGCAGGGGGAUUGGACUGGAUGAUCUUUUGAGGUCCCUUCCAAUCCCAAACAUACUGUGAUACUGUGAUACUGUGAUACUGUACACUGCUGUACAGGACAUCACCGCCUGUGUCAGCUGGCAUGCAAGAGCGAUCAUGCUUCUAAAUUCGGUGUUUGUGAUUAAAAUCUUGUGCAGAUGCCCCAAAAUACCUUUUCUAUUGAGCAAUCACAGUGUCUUCAGUAAACUCCAAAAUAACUACAGGACACAGGAACAUUCUGGGGUUGUUUUGUUUUGUUUUUCUUUAUAACUGUCUUUAUAACAUCUUCCAUCUCCAAUAUUUUCGGUUAGUGGUAAUACUACCUGAAGGUAAAAGUAUUGACCUAAAACAUCUGAGAUGGACUAUCCUUCCUCUCUGAAGAAAUCCCUUGACAGGUUGUUCAGCAGGCCUGAAAACUUUAGGAAAAGAUGCAAUAUGACUAAAGAGAGAUUACAUUAUUUAUCAUUCAUCACAAGCAGUGGGAUGCUGAAGUACGCCUAGUUGGUCAUGACCAUCAUCUGCUAGCCUCCAAAGCUAAUUAAUCCACCUGAUUCUGACACAGUCAUUCCCUAAUGUUUUUAAACACAAAGAAUCAAACUACAUCUUGGAAAAUUCAUGCUCCCUCUGACACACAUCAUAUUUAUUUUUAAAUUAAGAUGGACCAGCUAUUUUACAGAAAAAGCUCUAGAUGGAUAUAAAACCCCACAUAUGUCCCUUUUGUUCUGAGGUUUAGAGUAGGCUUCCUGGCUUUCUCCUUCUAGUGUCUUGUAAUUGGUAUGGAUUUCCAAUGGAAAACAUGGUGUGAAAUAAAACCCAUAAAAAGCAUUUAUCUGCCUUUCACUUCGAGUGUUUUAAUAAGCUGGUGUGCAGAUCCAUUUUCAUUUGGUUUUGUUACUGUACCAGAAAGCUGACCUGUAUUUUCUUCUGUUAAAAUAUGAGUUCUUAGAUGUGCAGUAGGUUUUUUGGGGCCAUGCAUGUUUUAAUUAAUGUAACACUUCACUGGGACGUUGAGAAGCUUAAUUAAUUCAGUCUUCCACAGUCAGGUGGAAAACAAUGAGUAAUCGCUCAAUACUGCCAACAAUUAUUACAUCCAAAACUUGAUGGCUGUGUCUUUUGGGAAAAGAACUACAUUUUAUCAGAAAGAUUGUGUGAGUACAUGAUACCAUAGGAGGAGAAUAUUCCAUAUAACAGUAAAUUCACCGCUACAAAAGUAAUUCUGCAACAGGGACCCACAUCCGUAUCUUUCCCACCUAAAACAGCCCUGUGACACUCGGUUGAGACCAGCAGUGAUACGUGUGGAAGAGGCCGCAGGUUUUGCUUAUUUAACUAAGGUGGAUUGUCACCUGCUGAGAAUGCCCGUGGUCUCCAUCCAUCAUCACCAGCGUUUUGCAGCUCCCGUAAUUGGAACUCGGAGGGGAUUGUUUACAAGAGCCGCUUCCUCGCAGGGACCAGCAUCGUCUGCCAUGCAACGCGAUCUGGGGGCAGGGUGAUGCCUGUUCGGUCUAAGUCAAAAUGACAUUUCUCCUUGCUGAAUUCAGGUCAACCUGCACUCCAGGGUUGCGCCGAGCUGGAGGACCAUAAAAGCAGCAAUAUUCCACAGGAAUUUGUACUGAGUUUUUCCAUGCCUUCUCUCUUAUUGCCGAUGAUGAAACUUUCUUAGACAUCUUCAAGCACUCAUCUGAACUAAUAAUAUGAUAAAUGGCAUUUUAAUGCUGGACCUGUUUUCCCUAGUGAAUAUGUGCAAUGGUGUUCCCUGUCUCAUUAUGUAUAGAAAGAUAACCAUAUCCAGUGUCUGUACAAAUGUGUGUAUCACUACCUGGCACCAAGUUAUUCGAAACAGCAAGAAGAGACCAUAAAAAAGGGCAAAUCUACUAUUUUUUCAAAUUUCCUAUAUAGAAUAUUUAUCAAGUGACAAGUAUUAAAACAAUAAAACCGUUUAUGAGUCUUUUUGUGCCUAGAAUACAUCAAUGUUCAAUUUUUAUUGAUUUUUUUUUUUUUAAAGUAGUUCUCCAUGUUCAUCAUCAUGGUAGCUUUGGAAAGUCACUGUAGGUGGUGAAAAAUAAAGUAAAGCCUCCUCAGUUGUACUUUGCGUGAGGAAUUAAGGUUGCUCCAGCUGUCCCGGCACAGUUUAGGUGAAAGACCAGGUCAGAAGGUCUGCGAUGGGGACAUGUCCUGUCUUCCUGAAUGGCAGAGGAGGCUCCUAAGUACUUUUGGUUACAUCUGCUGUGACCUCCUGAAAGGAACAGAUGGAAAGGGACAUGAGAUCGGUGGCCUCAAUGAGUCAGAAGGAUUCACCCUUCCAUUUAUUUCAGAAUUAUAGUCUCACUGAAAAGUUGUUUGGCAAGUGGCAAGUAGACUAAAUAUUGUAGAUUUUAGGGAAAAUGUAUGGAGAGAUGUUUACUUAGUAAUGCUUAGAAAAACAUUGGGGGGAUUAGUCAUAAACAUAUAAAUGUGAAUUGACUACACAAUACCUACAUCCUUCUGAUCUUCAUAAGCCAAUGAUCUGUCAUUGACAGGACUUAAAUGUUCAAGGCAGAGUAACAGAAAUGUCAUGUCAUUAGAAUAGCUAAAUAUCAUUGUUUCAUUAUACUGUGUACUAUAUAUAUACUUCGGUAUGGUUUUUUGUACAAUAAAAACAGUAAUUUGUAUUUAUAGCAUGUUUCAUCAACUUCAACAAAAAAUAAUUAAAAAGACAAUUAAAAAAA